This is a long non-coding RNA of Neofelis nebulosa (Clouded leopard), 2225 nucleotides long. RefSeq lists it as uncharacterized. The transcript has 2 exons. Lineage: Eukaryota; Metazoa; Chordata; Mammalia; Carnivora; Felidae. The record is from RefSeq and is a predicted model, not a curated record.
UCUUGGCUCCUUAAUUCGUACGAAUGAUUACAAAUUCAGUGUUUCCCAGUACAAUUCUUCCCCACUCCCUUUAAGGAGCUAACCCAAAUCGGUUGUUCAUAAUAGAAGAGUCUUAACUGCUGUGGCCCAGGAUGUGUUUCAUCCAGGAAAUACUCAGAGUGAUCAUCGUUGAGCUAGUCCCAUUGUUUCUUCAUGGCGGAGAGUGGCCAGAUUCAUAUAGAUGAUUCAUACCUGAAGUGGUUCUGUAAAUUGAAUUCAUGGUUCGAUACACAAGGGUUUUAAAUAAGCCUGAGAGACCACACUGCCAUAGGACAUUAUUCAUGAAAAAAUAUCUUGAGAUGCAAAGUCCUAUUCAUCCUAUGAUGGCUGGACACUAAACAUUUAGAAGCGGUAUAAAAACACUCAGAUCCUAACAUUGAAGAUCUUCGAAAGAAUUCUUUCUCUUUAAAAGAAUUCUGAGAAUCCGAAAAACAUUGAGCAAAAGGAUUUCAAAAAGAUAUUUUUGAGAGAAGAAAGACUCUGAAGAAAAAAGAGGCCAACAGAGGACACAAAACUAUGCUGAGUGUAUUGGGUUUAUUGAACAGGCUGAACUCUGUGGGGUCCAAACGGGAAACGACUUGUAUCUCCUCCAGCACUGCCAUCAGACCAGCUCUGCGCUGUGCUUCCUGCCCCUUGACAGUGUCUCCUGCGGGGCCUGCAGCAUUUAGAUUGCUUUCAGGGGCCAGGAGUCCAACAACUGCAUUUCUCAGACUCCCCUGCGAGCUGUUUACCGGGGAAGCCCUGUCAGCAGGAGGCACCAGUGGGGGACCAGAAGAGGAGCCUCUCCCUGUGUGUGGCGCUGGAAGCAGCAGCCGCGGCUGGUGAUAACGGGUUCCAACAACGUCGCUGUGGUCAAAGCAGCGACAGAGUUCCAGAAACCACAGCAGCAGCUCCAGUCCAGGUAGCAGAUUCCUGAUCUCUGGACGAUCCCCAUCCUCAACCCAUUUUUACCUUCUCCAGUUUGGCCAACACGUUUGUAACCGAUUCGCCGCAUCGCAUCCUGUUUUACUCCGUCCAGAGUGGCUUCUGUUUUCCUGUCGUGAUAUUGACUGAUACAAGAUGCAAAUUGUCCGACGCAAACAGACCCUGAUCAGGGUGCAUGGGGUGGGGGGUGUAGUGAGGAGGGGUCGCUGGCUUCUAAAGCUAAUCUCUGUUCUACUCAACCCUGACCACUUUGACCACUUUUAUGGCACAAGUGUGACCCUUGUCACCACCAGCCACUCAAGCUGGUUCUUUUUUGUUUUAUUAAGAGUUUAUUUUUAAGUAGUCUCCACAUCAGGUUGGCCCUUCGUGUUUUGAAUUUGACCCCUAGUAACUGUCCCUUGGCUCCACCCCUCAGCCCCACUCUUUGCCCUUUGAAAGCUUGGCUGCCCCCUCUUUGGUGGUGGCCCUUGGUUGCCUCUUGAUGCAGGCUUCUUGUGCAUAUGACGUUCCUGCUCCGACUCCCCCAAGCCAGGCUCCACACACAAUCUGCCCUAUUCCCAUCCCAGGAAGCAGGCAAAGCUUGUUUAAAAAUUCCAAGAGUGUUAGCCUGUGUUCAACCAGAGAAGUAGAACCCAUAGUAAAAAGGGUAAAAAUACACAGAAGAAUAGGGGAUCAAGGGAUUGUUAGAGGAAGGAGCCCCACACAAUUGAGGGAGCUGGUUAAGUAGUCUCUGUGAGUAUGUGGUCUCCAUGUCUGAUGCUGGAACUUCAAGUCCAUAGGACAGGGAAUCAGGAAGAGAAGAUGGAUGUCAAGGACGGGGUAGAAGCCACAGAGGGGACUGGUGCCCCAGAGGAUGGUCUGAAACCAUGUCAGUUCUUGUUGCCUCUGACCCUGUGGUAUGUCUGCAGAAGCUGAGUUGAAGAUAUGGAGCUGGGAGUACAAUGAGCAAAUACUCUUAAAGCUCAGAGGGCAGAGAAUCAGAAGAAAACUGCAUAGAAAGUGCUCUGAUGAUUGGCAGAAGGUCCGCCUUGAGUUUUUCAGUGGGAAACUGAUCAGUGCCAGCAUGUGAGGAAAUCACCCAAGCCUAGUAAAACCACCCAAAAGGAUUAGAAGGAGCAAUCACUCAGCUCACAUAGGAUCAGGAAUGGUUCCUAUUCUCACAAAACAAAGUAAAAAAAAAAAAACCCUCAUAAUUCACAGGGCAUCCAACAGAAUACCCAAAAAAGGUUAGCUUUGCCUCAGUACUGGGGCAAAAUCAGCCC